This 81-nucleotide transfer RNA is filed under the name Nonomuraea aridisoli. RNAcentral's name for it is "Nonomuraea sp. KC333 tRNA-Tyr". It matches the Rfam family "tRNA". Rfam says of the family: Transfer RNA (tRNA) molecules are approximately 80 nucleotides in length. Their secondary structure includes four short double-helical elements and three loops (D, anti-codon, and T loops). Lineage: Bacteria; Bacillati; Actinomycetota; Actinomycetes; Streptosporangiales; Streptosporangiaceae. The record is from RNAcentral.
GCGCGAGCUGGGCACGCGGUGAGCCCACCCGGCUGUAAACCGGACGCUUCGGCUGUGGCGGUUCGACUCCGUCCUCGCGCA